UACGUAGGGUGCAAGCGUUAAUCGGAAUUACUGGGCGUAAAGCGUGCGCAGGCGGUUUUUUAAGACAGAGGUGAAAUCCCCGGGCUCAACCUGGGAACUGCAUUUGUGACUGUAGAGCUGGAGUACGGUAGAGGGGGAUGGAAUUCCGCGUGUAGCAGUGAAAUGCGUAGAUAUGCGGAGGAACACCGAUGGCGAAGGCAAUCCCCUGGACCUGUACUGACGCUCAUGCACGAAAGCGUGGGGAGCAAACAGG
RNAcentral lists this ribosomal RNA (253 nucleotides) under uncultured bacterium. RNAcentral describes it as "partial 16S ribosomal RNA". It matches the Rfam family "Bacterial small subunit ribosomal RNA", at positions 524 to 776 of the family's 1533-position model. The record is from RNAcentral.